RNAcentral lists this ribosomal RNA (490 nucleotides) under uncultured bacterium. RNAcentral describes it as "partial 16S ribosomal RNA". It matches the Rfam family "Bacterial small subunit ribosomal RNA", at positions 30 to 507 of the family's 1533-position model. The record is from RNAcentral.
AUUGAGCGCUGGCGGCAGGCCUAACACAUGCAAGUCGAACGGUAACAGGAAACAGCUUGCUGUUUCGCUGACGAGUGGCGGACGGGUGAGUAAUGUCUGGGAAACUGCCUGAUGGAGGGGGAUAACUACUGGAAACGGUAGCUAAUACCGCAUAACGUCGCAAGACCAAAGAGGGGGACCUUCGGGCCUCUUGCCAUCAGAUGUGCCCAGAUGGGAUUAGCUAGUAGGUGGGGUAACGGCUCACCUAGGCGACGAUCCCUAGCUGGUCUGAGAGGAUGACCAGCCACACUGGAACUGAGACACGGUCCAGACUCCUACGGGAGGCAGCAGUGGGGAAUAUUGCACAAUGGGCGCAAGCCUGAUGCAGCCAUGCCGCGUGUAUGAAGAAGGCCUUCGGGUUGUAAAGUACUUUCAGCGGGGAGGAAGGGAGUAAAGUUAAUACCUUUGCUCAUUGACGUUACCCGCAGAAGAAGCACCGGCUAACUCCGUG